This 66-nucleotide transfer RNA is filed under the name Cercodemas anceps. RNAcentral describes it as "tRNA-Tyr". It matches the Rfam family "tRNA". Rfam says of the family: Transfer RNA (tRNA) molecules are approximately 80 nucleotides in length. Their secondary structure includes four short double-helical elements and three loops (D, anti-codon, and T loops). Lineage: Eukaryota; Metazoa; Echinodermata; Holothuroidea; Dendrochirotida; Cucumariidae. The record is from RNAcentral.
GACAAGAUGGCUGAUAAAAGCAAAGGAUUGUAAACCCUUCUAUGUAGAUCAUAAUUCUACUCUUCG